CAGAAUUGGGGCACCUCUACCAUGGCCCGGACGCCUCUCCUCCUUGGAUUCCUGGCUCACUGCACAGGUUCUAUGUCUGCCUACGUGCUGACUCAGCCUCCCUCAAUGUCGGUGAACCUGGGACAGACGGCCAGCAUCACCUGCAGUGGAGACAACAUUGGAGGAAUAUAUGUUUCCUGGCAACAACUGAAGCUGGGACAGACACCCAUGACAAUUAUAUAUAGUGAUAGCAACCGGCCCUCAGGAAUCCCUGACAGGUUCUCUGGCUCCAACUCAGGGAACAUGGCCACCCUGACCAUCAGCGGGGCCCGGGCUGAGGAUGAGGCUGACUAUUACUGACUAUUACUGACUAUUACUGGGCAUAUGACAGUAGUA
Molecule: non-coding RNA, 375 nt
Organism: Mustela erminea (ermine)
Lineage: Eukaryota; Metazoa; Chordata; Mammalia; Carnivora; Mustelidae
Source: the annotation of a RefSeq genome assembly